UCAUAAUCCGUUGGACUUUAUGGAACCGUGUCCUUACUCGGAUAACUGUGGUAAUUCUAGAGCUAAUACAUGCCACGAGUUCCCAAAGUGUUUUUGUUAACAUUAGUAGGACGCAAUUAUUAGAACCAAAAAUUGUACCGAUUUCUUACUUGGUGUAAAACUUGGUGAAUCUGGAUAAUCACUGCAGAGCGCUUAACUUGUGCCGGCGCCAGACCUUUGAAGAGUCUGCCCUAUCAGCUUGAUUGUAGAUUAAAUGUCUACAAUGGCUAUAACGGGUAACGGGGAAUCAGGGUUCGAUUCCGGAGAGGGAGCCUGAGAAACGGCUACCACAUCUAAGGAAGGCAGCAGGCACGCAAAUUGUUCAAUCUUAGCUCGAGGAAGCAGUGACAAAAUAUCUUGAUGCGGGACUCUUCCGAGGCCUCGCAAUCAGGAUGCGUUUACUUUAAAGCAGUAAACUGAACGCAAUUGGAGGGCAAGUCUGGUGCCAGCAGCCGCGGUAAUUCCAGCUCCAAUAGCGUAUAUUUAAGUUGCUGCGGUUAAAAAGCUCGUAGUUGGACUUCAUACUCAGGCAGCCAGCCCUCUUUCAUUUGAGGUUCUUACUGCGUCGGUGACUGUGUGUUUAGGAGACCGUCGACACCUUUUAGUCUAUAAUUGAUGAUUCCCUUAACUGGUUGAGGCACAUUCGUUGAGAAAGUUUCGACUCUAUCACUUUGAAAAAAGUAGAGUGCUCAAAGCACUCAUUGCAUAAUUGCCUGAAUGGUAGUGCAUGGAAUGAUGGAAGAUGAUCUCUACCUCGUUAAGUAAAAAGAUAUCUUUUCUUUGCACCAGGUAAAGAUUCGAGGUUUGAGAUAAUGAUUAAAGGGAACUGCCGGGGGCGUUUGUAUUACGGCGCUAGAGGUGAAAUUCUUGGACCGUCGUAAGACAAACUACUGCGAAAGCAUUCGCCAAGAAUGUUUUCAUUAAUCAAGAACGAAAGUUAGAGUUUAGAAGGAGAUCAGAUACCUCCCUAUUUCUAACCGUAAACUAUGCUAACCAGUUGUCCGUCGGAAGUCAAUUCCGAUGGACGAGCGACCCCAGGGAAACCAGAGUGUCUGAGUUCCGGGGGAAGUAUGGUUGCAAAAAGGAAACUUAAAGGAAUUGACGGAAGGGCACCACCAGGAGUGGAGCCUGCGGCUUAAUUUGACUCAACACGGGAAAACUCACCAGGCCCAGAAACAUUUAGGAUUGACAGAUUAAAAGCUCUUUCAUGAUUAUGAGGAUGGUGGUGCAUGAUUACUAAACUUUGACUGGAGUAAUUACUGAAGGUCUUUUCGAAGGUUAAUGUCGGGUAGUCUAUCUUUCUUCUUAGAAAAAUCAAUGGUACUCUAAUCAGUUGACAGGAAGAGCAAUAACAGGUCUGUGAUGCCCUUAGAUGUUCUGGGCCGCACGCGCGCUACAAUGCACGGUGCAACACGUCCCCCUUCUCCCUAAUGGAGUGGGUAACCGGUUUAAAUCCGGGCCUACUUGGGAUUGGGGCUUGCAAAUAUUUCCCAUGAACGAGGAAUUCCCAGUAAGCGUUGGCUCAUUUAAGUCGCGCUGAUUACGUCCCUGCCCUUUGUACACACCGCCCGUCGCUACUACCGAUUGAAUGAUUCAGUGAGAACAUUGGACUGUCGUUCUAACGUAUUGUUUUCUAUACUU
RNAcentral lists this ribosomal RNA (1680 nucleotides) under Typhlotanais trispinosus. RNAcentral describes it as "SSU rRNA". It matches the Rfam family "Eukaryotic small subunit ribosomal RNA", at positions 110 to 1740 of the family's 1831-position model. The record is from RNAcentral. Lineage: Eukaryota; Metazoa; Arthropoda; Malacostraca; Tanaidacea; Typhlotanaidae.